Molecule: long non-coding RNA, 1079 nt
Organism: Micropterus salmoides (largemouth bass)
Lineage: Eukaryota; Metazoa; Chordata; Actinopteri; Centrarchiformes; Centrarchidae
Exons: 2
Source: RefSeq, a predicted model, not a curated record
GUUUUGUUUUCCAGAGAGUGAUCCAGCUGCAGUCUCCUCAGCACUGAGAGGACCAGAUGACAUCACUUACGGACAAAUAGCCAUAAGACGAGAGAGUGUCCAGUAGAUCCAGAGGUCGUCUACUCUUCACUGAGGUAGACCUUCACACCUUCACACCAGUCCAACCACUGAUGUCCAGCUGGCCUGGAACUGGUCCCCAGAGCCCCUCACACCUCAGCACAUCCAUUUAUUAUGUUUCACUGUUAGACUGUAGACUCAGGCAGCUACAAAGUAAAACAUCUUUAUUUUUAUUUUUCCUUUAUUUAACCAGGAAGUCCCAUUGAGAUUCAGAAUCUCUUUUACAAGAGACACCUUGUCAAGGUAGCAGCCAAAUCACAACAAAUGCAUACACUUAUACACACUUAUACACAAACAGUAACAAAACAGUGUCCCAAAAAGACAUAUAUAUCCAUUGGAAAGCGACAUAUAUGACUGUUCCCCAUCAUGACAUCUGAGAGUGUUGGCAAGUCCAGCGACAGGCGUACUGGACUUUCAGUAAGUCAUUUGACCCUAAGUCAUGUGACGUUUAACACGUAGUAAACGUUGUGAAACGGUCAAGUUUAGGCUACAGAACCACUUGGUUAGGAUUAGGAGAAGAUCUCAGUUUGGGUUAAAAUAAGUAAUAAGUCACGUGACUGAAGUCAAAAAGCUAUUUAACUUUCUCUCACACGGGACUCGAACUUUGGUUUCCAGAGUAAGGGUCCGUAAUUUGCUUCACUCGUCCAUCCACCCCUCAUCAAGACUUUGUCGACCUUUAAAUUACCUGACUUGUUCUGCCACUAGAGGUAACGGCCAAACUAGAACGUAAAUAUGUGUUGUGAGAUAAAUAAUAAGAGACAUAGAUGAACGUUUCUCUGGUGAGGGCGGGCUGGAGAGAGACAGACAGGUCAGAUUUAGUGCAACAAAAAUAAAAUUGUUAUUUAUUGUUUUGUGGGUGAUGUAAUAACUUUACUGCUAUUUAUAUUGGAUUAAUUCUUUUUGUUUCUUGUUGAACAGCAACUUGGUUUUUUUUCUGUUGGAUCAAUAAACUUUGUCUCGUU